RNAcentral lists this small RNA (448 nucleotides) under Pan troglodytes (chimpanzee). RNAcentral's name for it is "processed transcript". The record is from RNAcentral. Lineage: Eukaryota; Metazoa; Chordata; Mammalia; Primates; Hominidae.
GAUGCAGCAGAGAGCAGGACGCACGGUCCCUGUGCUGAAACUCAGCACAGCAAUGUGGUGCUGGGGGCGGAGGCGGGGAAGGGCUUUGAGGACCAAGAGUUGGAGGGCCUUGCUGUUCUAGCACAAGGACCGUCCUCUGGGUGGGGAUGCUUUCUCUCCAGGACGUGUGGCUGUCGGAGCUGGGUGGCCCUUGUCUCACCCCGGUUGCUUGGGCAAGACUCCAGAAGACCUUUCCAGAUUCGUGGUUGAGCUGCAGCAGAGGGAGCUUGCCUUGAAGGACAAGAACAGCGCCGUCACCAGCAGCGCCCGGGGGCUGGAGAAGGCCAGGCAGCAGCUGCAGGAGGAGCUCCGGCAGGUCAGCGGCCAGCUGUUGGAGGAGAGGAAGAAGCGCGAGACCCACGAGGCGCUGGCCCGGAGGCUCCAGAAACGGGUCCUGCUGCUCACCAAG